Molecule: ribosomal RNA, 394 nt
Filed under: Hemithyrsocera simulans
Lineage: Eukaryota; Metazoa; Arthropoda; Insecta; Blattodea; Blattellidae
Description: partial 12S ribosomal RNA
Source: RNAcentral
UAUUAUUAAUGAUUUAAAUUUUAUGACUUGAGUAGUAGUAGUUAUGUUCUUGAAACUUAAAGAAUUUGGCGGUAUUUUAGUCUUUUUAGAGGAAUCUGUCCCUUAAUUCGAUAAUCCGCGUUAUAUCUUACUUAAGAUUUUAAUUUGUAUACCGCUGUUGUUGAGAAUCUUUUUAGAGUUAAUUUCUUAAAUAUUCUUGGAUGUUUUGUCAGGUCAAGGUGCAGUUUAUAUUUAAGUGGUGAUGGAUUACAUUAUUUUGAAAUAUACGGAUUAUUAAUUUAGAUAAUUAAUUAUGAAGGUGGAUUUAAAAGUAAUUUUAUUGAGAAUGUUAAUGUGAUUUUGGCUCUAGAAUAUGUACACAUCGCCCGUCAUUCUCAUUAUUUGUUAAGGUGAG